This 133-nucleotide small nucleolar RNA is filed under the name Peromyscus maniculatus bairdii (prairie deer mouse). Lineage: Eukaryota; Metazoa; Chordata; Mammalia; Rodentia; Cricetidae. The record is from RNAcentral.
UGGUCCAUCCUAAUCCCUGCUGAUCAGUCAAUGAUCUGCCAGGCUUCGCUUGUGGACCAGAGCAUCCUAGAAGCUCUGCCAGAGUUGAGCAAGGCCUUUUUUAGGCUUCUGCCAACAGUACUUCUGAACAUGU